GACGAACGCUGGCGGCGUGCCUAACACAUGCAAGUCGAACGGAACUUCUUUAAAGGAUUUCUUCGGAAUGAAUUUGAUUAAGUUUAGUGGCGGACGGGUGAGUAACGCGUGAGUAACCUGCCUCUGAGAGGGGAAUAACAUUCUGAAAAGAAUGCUAAUACCGCAUAACAUAUAUUUAUCGCAUGGUAGAUAUAUCAAAGAUUUAUCGCUUAGAGAUGGACUCGCGUCCGAUUAGUUAGUUGGCGGGGUAACGGCCCGACCAAGACCGCGAUCGGUAGCCGACCUGAGAGGGUGACCGGCCACAUUGGGACUGAGACACGGCCCAGACUCCUACGGGAGGCAGCAGUGGGGAAUAUUGCACAAUGGAGGAAACUCUGAUGCAGCGACGCCGCGUGAGCGAAGAAGUAUUUCGGUAUGUAAAGCUCUGUCAGCAGGGAAGAUAAUGACGGUACCUGACCAAGAAGCCCCCGGNUAACUACGUG
Molecule: ribosomal RNA, 482 nt
Filed under: uncultured bacterium
Lineage: Bacteria
Description: bacterial SSU rRNA
Rfam family: Bacterial small subunit ribosomal RNA
Source: RNAcentral